GCAAGUCGAACGAAACUUUCUUACACCGAAUGCUUGCAUUCACCGUAAGAAGUUGAGUGGCGGACGGGUGAGUAACACGUGGGUAACCUGCCUAAAAGAAGGGGAUAACACUUGGAAACAGGUGCUAAUACCGUAUAUCUCUAAGGAUCGCAUGAUCCUUAGAUGAAAGAUGGUUCUGCUAUCGCUUUUAGAUGGACCCGCGGCGUAUUAACUAGUUGGUGGGGUAACGGCCUACCAAGGUGAUGAUACGUAGCCGAACUGAGAGGUUGAUCGGCCACAUUGGGACUGAGACACGGCCCAAACUCCUACGGGAGGCAGCAGUAGGGAAUCUUCCACAAUGGACGCAAGUCUGAUGGAGCAACGCCGCGUGAGUGAAGAAGGUCUUCGGAUCGUAAAACUCUGUUGUUAGAGAAGAACACGAGUGAGAGUAACUGUUCAUUCGAUGACGGUAUCUAACCAGCAAGUCACGGCUAACUACGUGCCAGCAGCCGCGGUAAUACGUAGGUGGCAAGCGUUGUCCGGAUUUAUUGGGCGUAAAGGGAACGCAGGCGGUCUUUUAAGUCUGAUGUGAAAGCCUUCGGCUUAACCGGAGUAGUGCAUUGGAAACUGGAAGACUUGAGUGCAGAAGAGGAGAGUGGAACUCCAUGUGUAGCGGUGAAAUGCGUAGAUAUAUGGAAGAACACCAGUGGCGAAAGCGGCUCUCUGGUCUGUAACUGACGCUGAGGUUCGAAAGCGUGGGUAGCAAACAGGAUUAGAUACCCUGGUAGUCCACGCCGUAAACGAUGAAUGCUAGGUGUUGGAGGGUUUCCGCCCUUCAGUGCCGCAGCUAACGCAAUAAGCAUUCCGCCUGGGGAGUACGACCGCAAGGUUGAAACUCAAAGGAAUUGACGGGGGCCCGCACAAGCGGUGGAGCAUGUGGUUUAAUUCGAAGCAACGCGAAGAACCUUACCAGGUCUUGACAUCCUUUGACCACCUAAGA
Molecule: ribosomal RNA, 979 nt
Filed under: Ligilactobacillus salivarius
Lineage: Bacteria; Bacillati; Bacillota; Bacilli; Lactobacillales; Lactobacillaceae
Description: bacterial SSU rRNA
Rfam family: Bacterial small subunit ribosomal RNA
Source: RNAcentral